Microtus oregoni (creeping vole) is the source of this 1982-nucleotide long non-coding RNA. RefSeq lists it as uncharacterized. NCBI's taxonomy places the organism in Eukaryota, Metazoa, Chordata, Mammalia, Rodentia, Cricetidae. The record is from RefSeq and is a predicted model, not a curated record. The transcript has 13 exons.
CAAUGCAGGCAGCUGAGUGUGUCACAGCUCUAACUGAGACACACAGUAAUCAACACACCCGAGUCAAUUCCCAUGAUGGCAAGAGGGGAAACCGGAGGAGGUGACCAGGAUGAUGAGAACAUUCUUCUACCAAGUUUUAGCACUGACUAUCCUCCGGAAAAUGGGAUCCAGGAGAAGUGACGCCCUCCUCGAACUGAAAGGCUCACAGGCUGGCAGAGUCAGGGAGGACGUGGCUAAUGACCAGCAACACUGCACCCCGUCCAGGCUGCCUGCAGGGAGUGUUUCCUGACCUGUCCAGAGAAGUCUGUCCAGUGUCAUUGAGAUACCCUGAGAUUUCAGUCGGAAGCGCGAGUUGUGCCGAAGAGCCCACACGCUUAAUUCGUUGAGCAGCCGCACAGUCUUUACCGCUGGAUUUCGUUAGAAAGGAAGGAGAGGCUGUUUCUACAGGGUGUCACAGGAAAAUCGAUGCUGAGCCACGGAUUAUUGGAUCCCACAGAACCGUGGUGACUCGGCAGUGAAAUUCUUCCAAAGCCUCUUCUGGAUCUCUGAGUUGAAAGAAAAAGAACAAAACAAAGCAACAACAAAAAAGCAAAGCUGUUCCUCCCACCUUGGUUGCUUCCCUGCAUCGCUUAGCAUUCCAUCUGCGAAGGCAGAGGUGUCCCUGGUUCGGGAAGUAUAAAUCCCGUGGGAAGUCAGCUGGAGAACAUUUUACGCAUCGCUCAUUCUGUUAUGAGCCUGCUGCUCUUCCCUCUCCCGACAAGCGUACACUUUUAAACUGUCUGAAACACGAAAGGCUGUGUAUUUUCACUGCUCAAACUCGGGCUAAGUAGACAGUGUCUUGACUCUGGCUGUGCCCGACAUCCCUGCUCCAUGCAAGACAACGGAUGAGAAGAGCUCAGAAAUAUAAAUAAAAUAACUGGAAGUGAAAAUCUUUGAAUUUCCCAUUCGAUGUGUUAAAGGACAGAAGCCGCAAUAAGGCUGCCUGGCUACAUUUUCCCAGUGCCCCCAGCUGCGAGUUAAGCUGACGAACAUUUCGAGAGCUCGGCCCAUUUCAUUCACAGCGGGACGGCAGGAGUUGCCAUGAAGAAUAAACUAAAAAUCAUGCUUUUAUUGCACAUUUGUGUUGAAUCUCAGGACUGGAAACGAUGAAAUUCUGCUCAGCAAGAAAUAAUAUGCUCUGGAGAACCUGCUAAUUCACAGAAAAUGGACUGGGCUAACAUUCGGGUUCUCAUCCUACCACAGUCCUCUUGAGAAGGACGGCCAGGCACCAGCAUUUAGCAGCUGCUGCUUCUGAACCAUGAACCACACACCCUGAUCAAGAACACUGCUAGGAUUGUAUUGUAUUCCUUGUGAGCUGAGUUCCACAAGCACGGGAAACAGAGAGAGCUACACAGUUUGUCUACAAUUGCUGGAGCUGAGGAGGCGAAUAAUGAAGGGGCCAGGGAAGGAGGCCAAUACUACAAGGGUUAUCUCCCCACCUCAGAUGCUGGAUAAGUUGAAGGAGGCAGACUCGCUUCUGGAUGACAUUCAGAAAGGCUGGAGCGAUUAUUUGGAAGAGAAAACCCUGCCUCUGUUUUCAAAGGUACGUGAAUAUUGUCGAGACCUGCCCGUCUAAAGGUCCCGUCCUUAGAAUCCUGCCUUAGACAAAGGAUGCACUUGGAGCCCUACCACACCUAAAACCACGUUUUGAAGGAUCUGCCAAGCUCACUUUUAAUCAUGAGGACGAAAUUACCCACAUGGAGGCAGCAGAAAAUGAGAAAGUAGAGUUCGUGCCGCGAUUAAUUCCAGCGAGUGCCAAGGGGCUAGUUGAGGAAUGGCUUCAUGAGAUGUUAGUCUGUCUAGAACAACACCUGAGGAUCUAAGCCGGACCUUGGAGAAAGAAACGACUUCAAGGAAAGACUCCUUUCCCUAUGGUUUAAUUCCUCACUUUUUACCCGGAUUGUAUCAGAUGCACUCUCAAACUAUGCUCACCCUUUCUGCUC